This 356-nucleotide long non-coding RNA is filed under the name Ananas comosus (pineapple). Its description in RNAcentral is "long non-coding RNA (ACOM_LNC029571)". Lineage: Eukaryota; Viridiplantae; Streptophyta; Magnoliopsida; Poales; Bromeliaceae. The record is from RNAcentral.
AAAAUUCUGCAAAUUCAAAUCUAAAUUCGACAAUAAAAAUCAAAGUCCAAACUCAACCUAAAUCUAACAGAAAAUCCAUAAAAAAAAUUAAACCUAAUCAAAAACCAGAAACCCAAAUCCAAACCCGAAUCAUAUUUCAAAACAUAUUAUAAUAAAGUUUAAAUUUUUAAAAUAUAAUUCAAAUAUAAUAUCAAAUAUUCAUAUAUAGUAUAUAAUGUAAAAUCUUUUCGAGUUUAGAUCGGGUUUGAAUUUGGUUCGGAUACAGACAAAAUUCAUCCAAAACUGAAUUUUUAUUUUUUUAUAAUCAUAUUUGAAACCAUAUUCAUUUAGCAUCGGACAAACCUAACUUCGGAUAU